This 481-nucleotide ribosomal RNA is filed under the name uncultured bacterium. Its description in RNAcentral is "bacterial SSU rRNA". It matches the Rfam family "Bacterial small subunit ribosomal RNA", at positions 899 to 1397 of the family's 1533-position model. The record is from RNAcentral.
ACUCAAAGGAAUUGACGGGGACCCGCACAAGCGGUGGAGCGUGUGGUUUAAUUCGAUGCUAAGCGAAGGACCUUACCAAGGUUUGACAUGCUAAUGGUAGUGAAUUGAAAGAGGAACGACCACACUAUGUGUGGAGUUAGCACAGGUGGUGCACGGCCGUCGUCAGCUCGUGUCGUGAGGUGUUGGGUUAAGUCCCGCAACGAGCGCAACCCCUGCUCUUAGUUACCAGCGGUAAGGCCGGGUACUCUAGGAGGAAGGGGGGGAUGAAGUCAGGUAUCGUGCCCCUUAUAUCUUGGGCGACACACGCGCUACAAUGGGUUGGACAGAAGGGACCAAGACAGCGAUGUGGAGGAAAUCCUCAAACCAACCCCCAGUUCAGAUUGCAGGCUGCAACCCGCCUGCAUGAAGCCGGAAUCGCUAGUAAUCGCAGAUCAGCCAAGCUGCGGUGAAUACGUUCCCGGGUCUUGUACACACCGCCCGU